Vespa velutina is the source of this 416-nucleotide long non-coding RNA. RefSeq lists it as uncharacterized. NCBI's taxonomy places the organism in Eukaryota, Metazoa, Arthropoda, Insecta, Hymenoptera, Vespidae. The record is from RefSeq and is a predicted model, not a curated record. The transcript has 2 exons.
AAUGCGAUCGGUAUUGUCAUUCGAACAGUGGCGAAUUCAUGAAUAUGCGCGUUUUCGUUUCCUGUGAAAGAUUUACGGGUAUUGUAUGAGUAAGAGAAAGAGAAAUAGGAAGAGAGAGAGAGAAAGAGAGAGAGAAAGAGAGAGAGAGAGAGAGAGCAAGCGAGCGCAACGGAGCGAGGAUUACUCGCUUCCUCCUACAUUCAAUGAAAAAUGUCGGAAAUGUGUUUGCGUGCCAUUCAAUGGAGAUAAUCACGGUGUGCCGUUCUUCUUGAUUCGAUAUUCUACUACCGCGAUUUUUUAACUUUCGAUGAGUUAAAAGAGAUAGAUAGAAAGAGAGAAAGAGAAAGAAAGGAAAUGGAGAAAUGAUACUGUCCUUGUCAGUUUGAUAGUAUUUCCCAGAGGGGGAGAGAGAGAGA